This 618-nucleotide ribosomal RNA is filed under the name uncultured Actinomycetes bacterium. RNAcentral describes it as "bacterial SSU rRNA". It matches the Rfam family "Bacterial small subunit ribosomal RNA", at positions 557 to 1174 of the family's 1533-position model. The record is from RNAcentral. Lineage: Bacteria; Bacillati; Actinomycetota; Actinomycetes.
GGCGUAAAGGGCUCGUAGGUGGUUUGUCGCGUCGUCUGUGAAAUUCCGGGGCUUAACUCCGGGCGUGCAGGCGAUACGGGCAUAACUUGAGUACUGUAGGGGUAACUGGAAUUCCUGGUGUAGCGGUGAAAUGCGCAGAUAUCAGGAGGAACACCGAUGGCGAAGGCAGGUUACUGGGCAGUUACUGACGCUGAGGAGCGAAAGCAUGGGUAGCGAACAGGAUUAGAUACCCUGGUAGUCCAUGCCGUAAACGGUGGGCGCUAGGUGUGAGGGUCUUUUCACGACUUUCGUGCCGUAGCUAACGCAUUAAGCGCCCCGCCUGGGGAGUACGGCCGCAAGGCUAAAACUCAAAGGAAUUGACGGGGGCCCGCACAAGCGGCGGAGCAUGUGGAUUAAUUCGAUGCAACGCGAAGAACCUUACCUGGGCUUGACAUACACCGGAUCGGGCUAGAGAUAGUCUUUCCCUUUGUGGCUGGUGUACAGGUGGUGCAUGGUUGUCGUCAGCUCGUGUCGUGAGAUGUUGGGUUAAGUCCCGCAACGAGCGCAACCCUUGUCUUAUGUUGCCAGCAUUUGGUUGGGGACUCAUGAGAGACUGCCGGGGUCAACUCGGAGGAAGGU